GUGAAUCAUCGAGUCUUUGAACGCACAUUGCGCCCUCUGGUAUUCCGGAGGGCAUGCCUGCUUGAGUGUCAUUAAUCUCUCACAACCACCUGUGGUAUUGUGAUGGUGGGAGCUGCGCUGUGCUUGCACGACGCUCUCCUCAAAUGCAUUGGUGCGGCCUGCCGCCCGGUUACACAACGUUCUAGGUUCGUCCAACUCGUUGCUACUCCGGUGCAAUCAUGGUGCAGCACCUAAAGCCCGUCUCGUGCCUUGUGCUCUUGACAUCUUCAUUUAUUGACCUCAGUAUCAGGUAGGAAUACGCGCUGAACUUAA
RNAcentral lists this ribosomal RNA (312 nucleotides) under uncultured fungus. RNAcentral describes it as "eukaryotic LSU rRNA". The stretch from base 1 to 71 matches the Rfam family "5.8S ribosomal RNA", at positions 84 to 154 of the family's 154-position model. Lineage: Eukaryota; Fungi. The record is from RNAcentral.